RNAcentral lists this unclassified non-coding RNA (228 nucleotides) under Hevea brasiliensis (rubber tree). The record is from RNAcentral. Lineage: Eukaryota; Viridiplantae; Streptophyta; Magnoliopsida; Malpighiales; Euphorbiaceae.
CAAAGAGCUCUCCAUCUUGGGCUAGGCACUGGCAAUGUCGGUGAUAGCGGAAACGAAGAUGGUGAGAGCAAUAGACCUGGUGAAAGCAAAGGGUACGGUGAUCGUGGCGAGUUCAAGCACCCAAACGGCAGCGGUGACGUUGGUAACUGGAACUGCGGCUGUGAUGCUAUCAUACCUGAUGUCGGCGACGAUAGUAUCCCCGGCUGCAGCGGAUCGAAUGGUUGUGGG